This 230-nucleotide ribosomal RNA is filed under the name uncultured bacterium. RNAcentral's name for it is "partial 16S ribosomal RNA". It matches the Rfam family "Bacterial small subunit ribosomal RNA", at positions 564 to 791 of the family's 1533-position model. The record is from RNAcentral.
AGCGUGCGCAGGCGGUUAUGUAAGACAGAUGUGAAAUCCCCGGGCUCAACCUGGGAACUGCAUUAGUGACUGCAUAGCUGGAGUACGGCAGAGGGGGAUGGAAUUCCGCGUGUAGCAGUGAAAUGCGUAGAUAUGCGGAGGAACACCCGAUGGCGAAGGCAAUCCCCUCGGGCCUGUACUGACGCUCAUGCACGAAAGCGUGGGGAGCAAACAGGAUUAGAUACCCGAGU